UUAAAAAGUCCAUCACAAUAUUUUUGAAUCACACUUGAGUUUUACAAAUAGUUUUUAAAUUUGAAUAUGAUUGAAUCCCAGUGCAUGAUACUGAUACCUUUUGUCUAACAUGUACACCGCAAUCGGUGGUCUAACUGUGAGGUCGUACAACCGUCAACCGGGCCAGGUCACGUGGGCGCAUUUGAUAUGUUCCACCACUCUGCUUCUCUGUGGGGUCUGCUCACGUGCUUCUCUUCCCCGCGCUCCAACAGUGGGCUCCGCCGCACUGUUAUAUAACGGUAGGUGUCAAGGAUUUGGAAAAAGCUCCACAGCCAACUGGCACAUUUUUCGUGCUUUAUGUUAAGUCAUAUUAUUGAUCACUUAUUAUGGAUGAUUUGAUAUAUAGUACGACGAGAUUUGCCAUUUUCGAAUGCUUAAUUAA
Glycine soja is the source of this 421-nucleotide long non-coding RNA. RefSeq lists it as uncharacterized. Lineage: Eukaryota; Viridiplantae; Streptophyta; Magnoliopsida; Fabales; Fabaceae. The record is from RefSeq and is a predicted model, not a curated record. The transcript is spliced from 2 exons.